GCCACAUGAUGCUACACAGACGGCAUUAGCAUUAGUGCGAAGAUGACCUCGUAUCUAUCACCCGAGUCUGAUGGCU
Tachysurus fulvidraco (yellow catfish) is the source of this 76-nucleotide small nucleolar RNA. RefSeq annotates it as small nucleolar RNA SNORD83. The record is from RefSeq and is a predicted model, not a curated record. Lineage: Eukaryota; Metazoa; Chordata; Actinopteri; Siluriformes; Bagridae. The transcript has a single exon.